This 497-nucleotide ribosomal RNA is filed under the name uncultured bacterium. RNAcentral describes it as "bacterial SSU rRNA". It matches the Rfam family "Bacterial small subunit ribosomal RNA", at positions 28 to 518 of the family's 1533-position model. The record is from RNAcentral.
GACGAACGCUGGCGGCGUGCCUAACACAUGCAAGUCAGGGAGAAAGGGGUAGCAAUACUCCGUGUACACCGGCGCAAGGGUGAGUAACACGUAGGCAACCUGCCUUUAGGACGGGAAUAACUUCGAGAAAUCGAGGAUAAUACCCGGUGAUGCAGCGGCAUCGCAUGAUGACAGUUGUUAAAAGCCGCAAGGUGCCUAAAGAUGGGCCUGCGUCCCAUUAGCUUGUUGGCGGGGUAACGGCCCACCAAGGCUACGAUGGGUAGCUGGUCUGAGAGGACGAUCAGCCACACUGGAACUGAGACACGGUCCAGACUCCUACGGGAGGCAGCAGUGAGGAAUAUUGCGCAAUGCCCGAAAGGGUGACGCAGCGACGCCGCGUGAAGGAUGAAGGCCCUAUGGGUCGUAAACUUCUUUUGCGGGGGAAGAAUUUCUUGCUACAGGCAGGAUUGACUGUACCCCGAGAAAAAGCAUCGGCUAACUACGUGCCAGCAGCCGAC